CAUGAUUUUGUGUUUAGUUUAAAAUCUGGUCUUCUUACCUCUAAUGGCUGCUUCCUCCAAGGUGGUUUGUUGGUGUCCAUUACCAUACCUGUGUAUGUAAAGAUAUGCAGGGAAACAACCAUUUCCUACUCUUUUGAAGGCUUUUCCCCUGUUGCCAGAGCUGGGGCAUGAGUGCCCCUGAGAGAGAAGCAGGGAAGCAGAACUUUCUCUCAAGGCCUCCAUUGGCGAAAUGGAGCAGGACCCACUUAACACCAUGAGGAAGGAAAGGAGCUGGAGGAAGCACAGAACAAGAUCUGAUGCCAAAUUUAUGGAGAGAAAGUGAAAAGAAAAUGCUGAAAUCUUCUCAAAAACUCUGGACGUCUGAUAUAACAUUCAAAAGAAGUGAGCCCAACUUACAUUUGCUCAGUUUUGAAGCUACACAGCAAUGAAGUACCUAGAAACACCAGUGCAAAAGGAUCAUAAAGUGAGCAUCGUGAACAAAACAACAGCCCUGCCCACCAGUGUGGUUCAACCUUCAGCUAAAUCGACACCUGAUGGAAGUAUCAAUAAUUCCCCAGUGCCUAUUCAUUUCAUAGGUAAAUUUAACAAAAUACCUCAAACUGGGUGGCUUAAUCAACAAAAAUUUAUUUUUUUCAGAAUUCU
Molecule: long non-coding RNA, 642 nt
Filed under: Chinchilla lanigera (long-tailed chinchilla)
Lineage: Eukaryota; Metazoa; Chordata; Mammalia; Rodentia; Chinchillidae
Description: lncRNA (ENSCLAG00000024439.1)
Source: RNAcentral